Molecule: long non-coding RNA, 2331 nt
Filed under: Macaca fascicularis (crab-eating macaque)
Lineage: Eukaryota; Metazoa; Chordata; Mammalia; Primates; Cercopithecidae
Description: lncRNA (ENSMFAG00000049797.1)
Source: RNAcentral
UCUUGUGUUAAUUUGUUUAGGCUAAUAGUCUCCGGUUCCAUCCAUGUUGCUGCAAAAGACAUUAUUUUGUUCUUUUUUAUGGCUGUGCAGUUACGAAUUGGGUUUUUUAAAGUUGCAGAGAGUAGCUGAUGAGGAGACGGAACAGCAUAAUAUUAAACUAUGGUGUUUCUUUUUAAAGCUUAUUCAGGUAAAACAGUUUUAUCAAAGGGUAGAGGCCCUCUUUAGCAACAUGCUAGAGGAGAAUACCCCCAUUGCCUGCCCAAGACAUACAGAAAAGAAGGAUGGUAGAAGGUACCACGAAAACAUUAGAAUUAGGAGGUUGGAAUUUAAACUUAGCAAAGGAAAGCUGUACCAGAACAGUGGUUUCAAGAACCCAGUCACAUUGCACAUUCUCAAGGAUGCUGCUGAGGAAGCAGUGAGUCUUGGGCUUGCCUGAGGCCCCUUCCAGCUCUGCAUGCUCUCUCUGUUCCUAUCCCUAAAUUGCCCAGUGACCAGCAAAGGUUAUCUUACUGAGCUGGGCUCCUUAAUACACUGGGGGUCUCCUUCAGGCAAUGGCGUACUGGUACAACUUGGUGGGAGCCAGUUUUGAGCAUUUCUUCCCAGUGCUCACUCCAUGUUGACUGGGUUGUAGCGUGAAAUACACCAUGGUGGGAGUAUUUACACCAUGGACUCUGGCAAUUGGCAAAUGCUGCCAAUCAGCCAUCCUCACAACCCCUGGGUCCCUAGGCCUGGCCCAUUGUUAAAUAUUAUAUCAACACAUCAUUGCCUCCAAGUGACAUACCUGGGCUCCCUGGGCUCUUUUUUCUGCGGUCAUCGACUUCCUAGCCCCUCUUUGUAUCUGUAAAUGUGGUUGACUGCCCCUUUCCACAUCAGUGAUGAAGAUCAGGCCUAGGAAAAUAGCUACCCAGAAUCUCAUUUUACUAAUGUUUUUGUUUCAGGAAAAAUCCUCUCACCUAAUUUUAUAUGAUCAAGGUUCAGCUCAGUAGAGUAGUUGAUAUCAUGGUUUUUCCAGCCAAACAACCUGGGUUCAGAUUCCAGUUAUUUCUCUUGCAAUUUACAGGAUCUUUAAUUUAAAGGAGUCGCUAGAUGUAUUCGUACCUCGAUCUCCUCAUUCAGCGUGAUGGAUUCAAUCCCUUGUAUAUCAUGCAAUUGUUUUAAAGAUUAAAUGGGUUCAUAUGUUUGAAGCACUUUGGAUGCAUCAGGCAUACGGUAGGUGUUUAGUUAUUAGCAUUCAACACACAGUUCCUCACAUACAAUUGUGUAUCUGGCAGUGUCUGUUAAGCUUCUUGGUAUCCCUAGUGCUGCUUGGAUAUAAUCAGAUGGCUAUUACAGGCAAUACAGUAAAGAUUAUGAAGCCAUCAUGUACACUGUUGUUCUUUUUGUCAUUCUGAAAACUUAAUUUAUCUGAAGGAGAAGGGUUACUAGGAGUGUGAAAUUUAAUGGGUAAUUUCUACCUUACGUUCCACACUCAGUAAUAUGGAGUUGAUACCCUCCUAGGCAGCUGAGAAGCUUUCCAGGGUUUUGAAGUCAGGAGCAUAGCUAGGAACCUUAUGUUCAUUACCCCAAUCUUCUAAGCUAGAUAGUAUCAUUACUUUCAUUUUCCAGGUGCAGAGAAUGAGGAUCAGAAACACUGAAGAACUUGCCCAGAGAUCCAACCAGUGAGUAGCCAGCUUCAGACUGAUAUGACCGUCAUUGUCCCUGACCAUGACCCGUCACAUGGCCAGCUCCGGAUGGAUUGGAAGGUCUGCGGGAAUGAGCUUUGGCCUAGUGGUAAGUCCCCAGCCUGUUGUUUUUGAUUCUCAGUUUUCUACCAUUUCUCUGCUCUCUAGUCCCACCUGAGAAAUCACCUAACAAGGAAAGAAAGCUUGCUAACACAGGGAUCUAGGAACAGCUAAGGCAUCUGACCAAGCCCUCCAGCCACUCUGCAAUGACAGGCAGUGUUAGGACUCCAUAUGGGAUCAGAGCCCUGGAAUCUGGCUCUUAUGCAGGAUUCCGACAUGUUACAUUGAAAGAGUGAUGGCCUGGCACAGGGGCUCACGCCUGUAAUCCCAGGGCUUUGGGAGGCCGAGGCAGGUGGAUCACGAGGUGAGGAGUUCAAGACCAGCCUGGCCAAGAUGGUGAAACCCCGUCUCUACUAAAAAUAAAAAAGAGUUAGCUAGGCUUGGUGGUGGGCGCCUGUAAUCCUAGCUACUCGGGAGACUAAGGCAGAGAACUACUUGAAACCCGGGAGGCGGAGGUUGCUGUGAGCUGAGAUCGCGCUACUUCACUCUAGCCUGGGUGACAGAGUGAGACUGUCUCGAAAAAAAUGAAAAAAAAAGAAAGAAAAAAAAA